GUGCUCCCUAUCACAGCACAUAUAUUAAAUAUUGGAAUAAUACAGAGAGUAGCAUGGCCCCUGCACAAGGAUGACGCCUAAAAUCUCUACCCACAUCUCCAUUCU
Small nuclear RNA from Suricata suricatta (meerkat), 105 nucleotides. The record is from Ensembl. Lineage: Eukaryota; Metazoa; Chordata; Mammalia; Carnivora; Herpestidae.